GGCUCAGAUUGAACGCUGGCGGCAUGCCUUACACAUGCAAGUCGAACGGCAGCGCGGGAGCAAUCCUGGCGGCGAGUGGCGAACGGGUGAGUAAUACAUCGGAACGUGCCCAAUCGUGGGGGAUAACGCAGCGAAAGCUGUGCUAAUACCGCAUACGAUCUACGGAUGAAAGCAGGGGAUCGCAAGACCUUGCGCGAAUGGAGCGGCCGAUGGCAGAUUAGGUAGUUGGUGAGGUAAAGGCUCACCAAGCCUUCGAUCUGUAGCUGGUCUGAGAGGACGACCAGCCACACUGGGACUGAGACACGGCCCAGACUCCUACGGGAGGCAGCAGUGGGGAAUUUUGGACAAUGGGCGAAAGCCUGAUCCAGCCAUGCCGCGUGCAGGAUGAAGGCCUUCGGGUUGUAAACUGCUUUUGUACGGAACGAAACGGCCUUUUC
Molecule: ribosomal RNA, 437 nt
Filed under: Variovorax sp.
Lineage: Bacteria; Pseudomonadati; Pseudomonadota; Betaproteobacteria; Burkholderiales; Comamonadaceae
Description: bacterial SSU rRNA
Rfam family: Bacterial small subunit ribosomal RNA
Source: RNAcentral